UUACCUGAAGACUCUUACGUCCUGGGUGAA
This 30-nucleotide non-coding RNA is filed under the name Rattus norvegicus (Norway rat). Lineage: Eukaryota; Metazoa; Chordata; Mammalia; Rodentia; Muridae. The record is from RNAcentral.